UCUCUGGUGGCCCAGACAGUAAAGCGUCUGCCUGUAAUGCAGGAGACCCAGGUUCUAUCCCUGGGUUGGGAA
This 72-nucleotide transfer RNA is filed under the name Bos taurus (domestic cattle). It matches the Rfam family "tRNA". Rfam says of the family: Transfer RNA (tRNA) molecules are approximately 80 nucleotides in length. Their secondary structure includes four short double-helical elements and three loops (D, anti-codon, and T loops). Further hydrogen bonds mediate the characteristic L-shaped molecular structure. tRNAs have two regions of fundamental functional importance: the anti-codon, which is responsible for specific mRNA codon recognition, and the 3' end, to which the tRNAs corresponding amino acid is attached (by aminoacyl-tRNA synthetases). tRNAs cope with the degeneracy of the genetic code in two manners: having more than one tRNA (with a specific anti-codon) for a particular amino acid; and 'wobble' base-pairing, i.e. permitting non-standard base-pairing at the 3rd anti-codon position. Lineage: Eukaryota; Metazoa; Chordata; Mammalia; Artiodactyla; Bovidae. The record is from Rfam by way of RNAcentral. RNAcentral also lists the same sequence under 1 other name.